UGCUUCACUCGAUCGCGACCUGAG
This 24-nucleotide non-coding RNA is filed under the name Arabidopsis thaliana (thale cress). The record is from RNAcentral. Lineage: Eukaryota; Viridiplantae; Streptophyta; Magnoliopsida; Brassicales; Brassicaceae.